CCAAAACUUACGAAAUACCAUUGAAAAAUAAUAUAUUUGUACUUCAAUACAAGUUGUCGAAAUUAUAAUUCAAUAGAAUUGUGAGGCAUUAGUGAAAUUCUAAUUCCUAAAUUCAUUUUCUUUCCAGGCGAACCAUGGGUUUCAGUAAUACAUAAGGGCAUAAUGCAAAAAUAGAUUAAUAUACAAGGGCAUAAUGCAAAUAUAGAAUAUCCACAACGACUGCAAGUUCAGAACAUAAAAUUGGUAAUUAGUUCUUAUCUACACAAAAACGAAGCAUCUAAAAUGUUUCCAUGAUGCAACAUGUCAAGUAGGCCGCUUCCCUUUUGCAUUCACUUCCGUGGUUCUUGUUUCCAUCCGGAGAUGCUCACAUUCACCUUCAAUGAAAUCUGCAAUUCUUCUUCGUCACUUAUCCGAACACUAGAUCGAAACAUGCGCGACAUUUCUUCAUCUGUGUUGUCCAUCAUAGUGGUAGGGGUGGUAGUGUUGCCACGACUACAUUCAACUCUUGAUUCAAAAUUCACAAUUUCGACUACAGCAAAGUAAUAAUUUUCCUUUAUUAUCGUUAUCUUUCUCCUAAAACAUACGAUGCACAAAUUAGAUUUAAUGCCAAUAUUGAAACCAAGCACAAAGGCAACAAGGGAACCAAUACAGAAAAGAUGCCCAAAAUUAAGACCAGAACUCAUGAAAACGGAAAAUCCUAUAAGCUUUAAACAACUCAACUGAGUAGAUUGUUUCAUUCAAGAUACUAGGACUCACAGCAAUCAAUAACAAAUAUAGUGAAUCAAAUAACCAAUAUUUCCCUUUCAUUUUCUCAACUUCAAUACUGGAACUUGCAUAUAGUUACAUCAAAUACCUAAAACCCAGAAAAUGUGAUACAUUUAAAUUGUUGAAACUUUAGAGAUAUCAAAAUUGCCUCAAGAAACUCAAACUCUAAAUACCAGAUCUCUUAAUAUCCCAUUGCCAAACGUCAAAUCUUUUUUCAGAUUUAUUCAUCUAAAUUCCCCCAAGAAUUGCACAUUUAUUGUACGAAAUGCGAAAAGAUAUCUUUAAUUUGAAGUUGAAGGGAAACCCAUACCACAAAAUAACCCAAAAAUGCACAUGAAAUUUUGGGAAAUAUGCUGUGUGGAACAAGAAAUCGUUGGGAUGAAGAUAUAUUAAUAACAAGCCAAUUGGGUUUAAAAAAAAUGUUUCUUUUGAAAAAAAAAAAAAUUGCAGUUUCACGAACUCACAAACAGGUCGAUUUUAUAACGACCUUAUGAAAAUUGCAGUUUCAUGGAAGGAAGGGAUGACCGAGAAGAAGUUGAGGAUCGCGAUUUAAAUAUAUAUAACAAGCCGAUUUUAUGAACUGCACAUCAUGAAGAAAUAUUAAUAACAGGAGCUCGUUGAUUUUUUUAAAACUUAUUUUCAAACGGCGACCAGAGCUCGUCGAUCCUGCAUCGUCGACACUGUCGACGAAAGUGCAAUGCGGGGACACCAUCGAAUAUGCACAGUUGGAUUUGCAGAUUUCUAUGGGUUUUGAAGAGAGAGAAUAAAGCAACCUGGGAUAGAGAUGUUGGGGGAGAGUGGGUGAUGUUCAUUUCCCCUUUAAAAUGCG
This 1594-nucleotide long non-coding RNA is filed under the name Olea europaea subsp. europaea. Lineage: Eukaryota; Viridiplantae; Streptophyta; Magnoliopsida; Lamiales; Oleaceae. The record is from RNAcentral.